RNAcentral lists this transfer RNA (73 nucleotides) under Anguilla anguilla (European eel). RNAcentral's name for it is "tRNA-OTHER". The record is from RNAcentral. Lineage: Eukaryota; Metazoa; Chordata; Actinopteri; Anguilliformes; Anguillidae.
GGCGGCACAGUGCAGUGGGUAGCACUGUCACCUCACAGCAAGAAGGUCCUGGGUUCGAAUCCCCCUGUGUCCG